This 497-nucleotide ribosomal RNA is filed under the name uncultured bacterium. RNAcentral's name for it is "partial 16S ribosomal RNA". It matches the Rfam family "Bacterial small subunit ribosomal RNA", at positions 28 to 507 of the family's 1533-position model. The record is from RNAcentral.
GAUGAACGCUGGCGGCGUGCCUAAUACAUGCAAGUCGAGCGAACAGACGAGGAGCUUGCUCCUCUGACGUUAGCGGCGGACGGGUGAGUAACACGUGGAUAACCUACCUAUAAGACUGGGAUAACUUCGGGAAACCGGAGCUAAUACCGGAUAAUAUAUUGAACCGCAUGGUUCAAUAGUGAAAGACGGUUUUGCUGUCACUUAUAGAUGGAUCCGCGCCGCAUUAGCUAGUUGGUAAGGUAACGGCUUACCAAGGCAACGAUGCGAAGCCGACCUGAGAGGGUGAUCGGCCACACUGGAACUGAGACACGGUCCAGACUCCUACGGGAGGCAGCAGUAGGCAAUCUUCCGCAAUGGGCGAAAGCCUGACGGAGCAACGCCGCGUGAGUGAUGAAGGUCUUCGGAUCGUAAAACUCUGUUAUUAGGGAAGAACAAAUGUGUAAGUAACUAUGCACGUCUUGACGGUACCUAAUCAGAAAGCCACGGCUAACUACGUG